GCUUUUAACAAUCCAUGCUUACUUCAUCUUUUAUUCUAGCACUCGUAUGGCUGAGCUUUGCUUUAAAUAUUUUGAUAUUUGAAACAACUUGGCUAAUUGGUAUCUCUGUCUUUCAAGUUUCAACUUACUAUUAAAUUUGCUUCAGUAUUCAGCAUCAUAUAUUUUACUUGAUGACAAUGAAACAGUCUGUUGUAAUAUAUGUUGAUUUUGUUAUCCUCUAUUACUUUAAUGUAGUGCGUGUAUAACACAAUAGUUGUCUGAUUUAAACUUCUUCACUUUCAGUCAUUUCAUGUCAUUUCUUCUUAACUGCAAGCGUGCAUAAGAACUUAAUGCUACUUGCUGGAUAGAUACCUGAAAUUUGUGAGAAAAUCAUUGUAAGCUUCUUGCGAAUUUGACUAGGUUUACAAAGGAUUUUAUCCAUUCUGUUGUUAGGAGCGUGGCUAGGUUUACAGAGUAUUUUUAUGUGAAUUUCAAUCUGGUGAUUCUUUUCUUCUGUCUUUUUUUUGUUUUUCUCUCUCAACUUUAUUUAAUAAUUUGUUUUUAGUAGACUUUUGUAUUUUUGAUUGUCAUGUAAGGUAGCCAGGGAUGGUUCUUAAAGAGAGAUUAAAAAAGGGUAAUUUCUUUGAUUUGUUACAUGAUAUCAGAAUCUGAGUGAUUGGUAAGUAUCUUCGGUAUGAUAGGAACAAAUUUCUCUUGCAGGUGCUUUAUCGAAAGUGCGCUGCUUCAAUCUCGUCAGAUAAGACAAACCAAAAUUUUCAGUAUCUGGGUUAUAGUUGAAAAAGAAGCUUGGAUUGCAUGAGCAAGUUAUAGCCUUUUGUUUAGAAGCCCCCACAUAAACUGUUAACGAGCACGAGACGAAUUCUGGAGUGGUAAGUUUAAACUGAGAGGAUAAUAUCUUUGGAGCAGUCAUAAAAUGGCUCAACGAUGAUUUAUUUGUCAAGCAUGACAAGUAGUUCCGACUAGAGCCUCGAUUACGACUACCCAAUAUUUCUUGCUUUUGCAAAUGAAGAGCACCACUCUACCUUGAUUUGAAACGGAAUUCAGACCUGUUUUUGCAAGCAUUCAAAGAAAGAACUUUUGCAUUCAAGGGGAAAGUUGAACUUUUUCAUGCAAAGAUCUCUCGUCGGACUCCGAUUGCGCUAUAACAUAACGGAAGGCUUUUAGAUUUGGUCGUAGAGCCAGCUCUCAAACUCAUGGAGCAAGUUAGGGGUGUGAAACUGCUAAACAGAGUAACCGAAUCAAACCAAUGGUUAGGUCUGGUUUAGAUUUUCUUUAUCAUUUUGAAGAAAAAAAAAACUGGUUGGGUUUUGGGUCAAUAUGGUAGGAACUAGGAACUGCAUUAUUUUGAUUCAUUAUUUUGAUUAACUUUCAGUUCUGAUCAUGAGAAACGGCUUAAAACAAACCAGCCGGUUAUAGUAUGUCAUUUUUUUAAACCAAACCGGCCUUAGUCCCAGUGGUUUGAUCUUAGCUCAUUGUACUUGACACUGGAAGGUUAACGUGCACAUUACCACGUGAUGAAGCACAGGAUAGCAUGAAGGCAAUGGACGAGGGCUACAUAAUUGUUUUGCCCUCCAUGCGCCAUUCCAAUCCAAAUCGGGACCAAUUGCUCUUCUCCUUCUCUCCUCCUCUCUUCCACUUGUCGGUGACUCCAAAACCAACGGAGUCGAAGUGCAAACUAAACCCUAAGGAUCAGAUACCUCUUCCAUUCCCUCCAUCGAAUCCUCGAUUUGAAGCCAAGACUGAUCUCGAUCUUGACCUCUCUUGUCGAUUUGAGAUCACCGGAUCCCUGAUCUAUUAAAGUCUGAGGAAAUAAAAUAUAUUCUCCGUCCAGGUGCACAAAUUAUUGAGUUUAUGGUGCCUCGUGAGUCUCUUGGAAUGCUGCUUCUCAACGUUCUCAGAUUUUAGUGGAAUAUUCUUCUUCCAGGUGUGCAAAUAAAGUAAAUUAUUCUUCCAGCUGUGCAAAUUAUUGAGUUUAUAGUGCCUCGUGAGUCUAUUGAAAUGCUGCUUCUCGACAUUCUCAGAUUUUUGUAGAAUACAUAAACUUUAAUUCAAAAAAAAAGAGUAUGGAAUCAGAAUCCAUAACUUUCUUUACAUUUGAAGUUAUUGGAUCAAAAUUGCCAAAUAUUAUAACUUAUCUGAAUAUCAUCGAAUAUUUACAUUC
Molecule: long non-coding RNA, 2161 nt
Organism: Ananas comosus (pineapple)
Lineage: Eukaryota; Viridiplantae; Streptophyta; Magnoliopsida; Poales; Bromeliaceae
Exons: 7
Source: RefSeq, a predicted model, not a curated record